This 1000-nucleotide ribosomal RNA is filed under the name uncultured bacterium. RNAcentral describes it as "bacterial SSU rRNA". It matches the Rfam family "Bacterial small subunit ribosomal RNA", at positions 356 to 1376 of the family's 1533-position model. The record is from RNAcentral.
GGGGGAUAUUGCGCAAUGGGGGCAACCCUGACGCAGCAACGCCGCGUGAAGGAUGAAGGUUUUCGGAUUGUAAACUUCUUUUAUUAAGGACGAAACUUGACGGUACUUAAUGAAUAAGCUCCGGCUAACUACGUGCCAGCAGCCGCGGUAAUACGUAGGGAGCAAGCGUUGUCCGGAUUUACUGGGUGUAAAGGGUGCGUAGGCGGCUUUGCAAGUCAGAUGUGAAAUCUAUGGGCUCAACCCAUAAACUGCAUUUGAAACUGUAGAGCUUGAGUGAAGUAGAGGCAGGCGGAAUUCCCCGUGUAGCGGUGAAAUGCGUAGAGAUGGGGAGGAACACCAGUGGCGAAGGCGGCCUGCUGGGCUUUAACUGACGCUGAGGCACGAAAGCGUGGGUAGCAAACAGGAUUAGAUACCCUGGUAGUCCACGCUGUAAACGAUGAUUACUAGGUGUGGGGGGUCUGACCCCUUCCGUGCCGGAGUUAACACAAUAAGUAAUCCACCUGGGGAGUACGGCCGCAAGGUUGAAACUCAAAGGAAUUGACGGGGGCCCGCACAAGCAGUGGAGUAUGUAGUUUAAUUCGAAGCAACGCGAAGAACCUUACCAGGUCUUGACAUCCAACUAACGAAGUAGAGAUACAUUAGGUGCCCUUCGGGGAAAGUUGAGACAGGUGGUGCAUGGUUGUCGUCAGCUCGUGUCGUGAGAUGUUGGGUUAAGUCCCGCAACGAGCGCAACCCUUGCUAUUAGUUGCUACGCAAGAGCACUCUAAUAGGACUGCCGUUGACAAAACGGAGGAAGGUGGGGACGACGUCAAAUCAUCAUGCCCCUUAUGACCUGGGCUACACACGUACUACAAUGGAUGUUAACAGAGGGAAGCAAGACAGCGAUGUGGAGCAAACCCCUAAAAACAUUCUCAGUUCAGAUUGCAGGCUGCAACCCGCCUGCAUGAAGAUGGAAUUGCUAGUAAUCGCGGAUCAGCAUGCCGCGGUGAAUACGUUCCCG